Molecule: unclassified non-coding RNA, 1104 nt
Filed under: Homarus americanus (American lobster)
Lineage: Eukaryota; Metazoa; Arthropoda; Malacostraca; Decapoda; Nephropidae
Description: uncharacterized LOC121872080, transcript variant X1
Source: RNAcentral
UAUAUUGAUCUAUUAAUGUGUUCAUGCCAUUGAGUUGAAUAAUAAAUAGCUGUACUUAGAAUUGGUGUUUAGAAAAUUUCCCCUUAAAAUAUAUUAACAGUUAAAUAACUAAUUGGCCACGCUACCAAACUUUCCUCAUUUUAUCUUACAACUUAUAACUUCUAAGUAUUAUUUCUACUCAAGAUUUCCCCUCAUUAUAGUCUGGUCGAGAAAUUCAAUGGGACCCUUAAAUCCAUGCUUAAAAAAAAUCCAAACAGCCUACUGCCUGGGAUCGUUAGCUUCCUGCAGUCUUUGUUCACCUACCAAGAAGCUCCACAGGCGAGUUUGGGAUUUUCACCGUUCAAACUCCUGUAUGGAAGGGCGGUCAGAGGGCCGGCCAAUCACCAUUUUGCACCACUUGUGGGAUUGACAGCAGACUGAUGGUGGUGGAAAAUGCUUCAGAAUCGUGUGCUACCAACGUGGAAGAAGUCUUUACAACGAUACUGGAAGAAUGCGACGAAAAGAAGGAACCUUCGGCUGUCUCUUCCUUCACUGGUCCAAAAGAAAACUCACCAGGAUGUCCGUGACUUUCACCCUGACCAACAACAGCAGGUCAGACAGUUAUUACAAAAGAUCAGUGAGGUGUUGUUAGAUAUUCUGGGUUGUACAAACUUACCACAACAUGCUAUUAAACUUUUGCAGGAUGAGGCCUUAUAAAAUACCUCAUGCUAUCAGAGGUGAGGUGAAUACGGAGAUAGCAGACAUGUGGGGAGCGGGCAUCAUAGAACCUUCAAGUUCUCCAUAUUCCACACCCAUUGUGGUUGUAAAAAGUCUGGGUUGCAGGAAAUGUUGGAGCAAACACACUUACUUUGGCAGAAAGUUUGGGGUUAGCAGAGAGAAUUUCAAGCAUCAACUAUAGCCACGUGUCCACAAAUAGGAUGAUUCUCGUAAAUUAGUUAUGACUGUACAUCUAUAUAUAAGUGUACCCUCGAAGAUCUGGACUUAAAGGGGGACCACCUGUCUGAAAAAGUCAAUUGUCUGUCUCUUCCGGCGAAUGUAACUAAAUGUAUAAAAACGAUAAAUAAUGACAUACAAGACACCAAAAAUACAGUACUGUGGUUUAUG